RNAcentral lists this ribosomal RNA (445 nucleotides) under uncultured bacterium. RNAcentral describes it as "bacterial SSU rRNA". It matches the Rfam family "Bacterial small subunit ribosomal RNA", at positions 331 to 793 of the family's 1533-position model. The record is from RNAcentral.
CCAGACUCCUACGGGAGGCAGCAGUGGGGAAUAUUGCACAAUGGGGGAAACCCUGAUGCAGCGACGCCACGUGAGUGAGGAAGUAUUUCGGUAUGUAAAGCUCUAUCAGCAGGGAAGAAAAUGACGGUACCUGACUAAGAAGCCCCGGCUGACUACGUGCCAGCAGCCGCGGUAAUACGUAGGGGGCAAGCGUUAUCCGGAUUUACUGGGUGUAAAGGGAGCGUAGACGGAAUAGCAAGUCUGAUGUGAAAACCCGGGGCUCAACUCCGGGAGUGCAUUGGAAACUGUUGAUCUAGGGUGUCGGAGAGGCAAGCGGAAUUCCUAGUGUAGCGGUGAAGUGCGUAGAUAUUAGGAGGAACACCAGUGGCGAAGGCGGCUUGCUGGACGAUGACUGACGUUGAGGCUCGAAAGCGUGGGGAGCAAACAGGAUUAGAUACCCCCGUAA